AUUUUCGGAUAAUCGCACUAUUUUAAUAUGGUGAGGAAAGUCCAUGCUCGCACAAGCUGAGAUGCUUGUAGUGUUUGUGCUAGGUGAAAUAAUAAGCCUAGGGACGGAAGUUACGGCUGAGAAAUUCACUAAGUAUAGUUAUAUAUAUGUGAAAAGUAUCUGUAAAAGUGCCAAAGAGACGAGUUUAACUAGAAAUGGUUAAGAUGGAACGUGGUAAACCCCUCAAGCGAGCAACCCAAACUUUGGUAGGGGCACUUGUUAAGCGGAAUUGAACGCAAGACGAGGUCGAUAAGACAGACAGAUGAUUAUCGAAGGUGUAAUACCUGGUUACACUGGAACAAAACAUGGCUUAUAGAA
RNAcentral lists this RNase P RNA (357 nucleotides) under Floricoccus tropicus. Its description in RNAcentral is "Bacterial RNase P class B". It matches the Rfam family "Bacterial RNase P class B". Rfam says of the family: Ribonuclease P (RNase P) is a ubiquitous endoribonuclease, found in archaea, bacteria and eukarya as well as chloroplasts and mitochondria. Its best characterised activity is the generation of mature 5'-ends of tRNAs by cleaving the 5'-leader elements of precursor-tRNAs. The record is from Rfam by way of RNAcentral. Lineage: Bacteria; Bacillati; Bacillota; Bacilli; Lactobacillales; Streptococcaceae.